Parus major (Great Tit) is the source of this 2898-nucleotide long non-coding RNA. RefSeq lists it as uncharacterized. The transcript is spliced from 3 exons. Lineage: Eukaryota; Metazoa; Chordata; Aves; Passeriformes; Paridae. The record is from RefSeq and is a predicted model, not a curated record.
UAUGCUCUAGGAUGACCCUAUUUGAGUGGGAACUUGGACCAGAUCACAGAAUCAGCUUAUUUGGAAGGGACCCACAAAGAUCAAGUCCAGCCCUGCACAGCACCAUCCCCAAGAAUGCCCAAAUGUCCCAACACUUCUUGAAUUCCAACAGGCUGGUGCUGUGACCACUUCCUGGGGAGCCUGUUCCAGUGUCCAGUCACCCUCUAAGUGAAGAGCCUUUCCCUGGUAUCCACCCUAAGCCUCUCCUGACACAACUUCAGGCCAUUCCCUCAGGUCUUGCUCACCACAGAAAACAGAUCAGGGUCUCCUCCUCCUCUUCCCCUUAUUGAGGAAGUCAUAGACUUCAAUGAGGUUUCACCUCAGUCUGCUGUUUUCCAGGCUGAACAGAGGGCCCACUGUGGUUCCUAUCAACCUGACCCAGUCUGUGAUUCAGUGAUUCCUAACCUAUCUUAGCUUACAUAAUUUUGUCCCUUUAUGUUUGUUUGUGAUACUUUAAAUAUAUUACCAAAGCCAUAAUUAGACAGUGUUCAGAUUCUAUUCUUUAUGAUACAUUAAAAAAAAAAUAAAUCUGUUCCUUUAAUAGUAUUUUAGCUUUAACUCAUGAUUUUAAAAUUUACUUUGGUAGUACAUGUAAUUGGAAAACUUUUCACCUCUCUUCAUGUUUUUUUUUUCUUUCAGGCCAUUGCAAACCAAGAAACAUUUCUGUUAUGUGCAGGUGUAAAGUUCCAUCAUGGCUAAUAUCUCCAGGUCUUCGGCAACAAGCAAACAUGUAAUCCCACACUCCCUUCUCAUAUCAAGCUAAACACUCCUUUUUAUUGAACCUUUCACAAAAUCUUCUCAGGCUGCAGAGGAAUUCUGUUAUCUGCAUUGCUAAGAUGAGCCUUUGCAUCUGCCUUUAUAAAGCUUAUAGAUAGCACCACUUUGGAGUUCUCUUCAAUGGUUUUUGAACCUUUUACUUGGAAGGUUCACAUUCCAUUUGACAUUCUGAAAGAGAAAAGGCAGCCUGGGCAGGGCCUGGAGGAGCUGAAUGUCACAUGGAAAAGUCUGCCUCGCUGAAGACUGAGGGGCUGCUUUGCUUGUCCAGCCUGAGGACAUUGUCUGUAGUGGUAAUAUGAGCCUGAAGGGUGUUCUAGCUAUAUGAAGUGUUUUCAUGGACUACUUGAAUACAAUUUAAUCCAUUUACAAGAGCAAUAAUCAUAGUUAAUUUUAUGGUUUAAGACGUUUUGAAGCAAAGAAUUUCUUCCUUUUUUUCCACCUGUGUAUCUUUCUCCAGUCUUGUGCUAUGUGUGGCAAAUUAGUAUCUGACCUGCUGAAUGCCUAUGUUUGACAGUGUCCAAGGCAAUUAAAGCUAACCUUACUGUGUCCUCCCUCUAAGCAUCUAAGUAAUGCUAACCACUGUACCACACAGUUUGGGAGGGAAAAAAAAGACUAGUUACCUGCCUUAGCAGUCUAAAUUUUCAUAUCAUUCCAGUAAAUGAAAAUUGUUGUUCUGUCAAACCAGAUAUAUGGUCUCACAACAAACAUUAUUAGACUUCUGAGUUUCUGAACAUUCUUUUUUCACAAUAUUGCAGUGCUUUUUCUGCUUUCAGACAUUUUAAUAUUAUUUUCCAAAUGCAAAUGCUAAUCAAAUCCUUUUCUCCAAGAGAAAAUUUUAGAUUCUAAUUUCAUGCCAACUAAAUGUGAUUUUAUGCCUCACAAUAAAUUUAGAUGAUGCUCUUGAGAGAAAUAAAUAAAGCACCUGGAUGCAAAAGUAUUGUCACAGAUUGACAGUUCCAGCUCCUUGGGAGAGAGUUUUGACUACUAAAGUAUCAAGUCCCUUAAAUAGGUGCCAUUGUGUAAUAUUUUAUCAACUGCAGAAAUUUGGGUCAAAAUGAACUAUUUUGAAGCAGAGGUGAUGUCUUUUAAAAUACUGGGUCUAAUUUGUCUCAAACAUUCUGCAGUGGUCAUUUUUUGUAGAAACUAGAUCUGUCCAUUACCUUCUAAUACCUGUCUCAAGCUAUUACUUGCUCUCAGCUUUGUAUUCCCUUUAGUGUGUCUUGUAUUUUAAUUUUCCCAAUUUCCUUCUGUCAUAUCUGAUGUCAAAAUUAAGGCCACAGUUAAGCCAGAAAUUCAAAACAUCAGUCUCUUAUUGUAAUUGGUUUCGUGUCAGCCAUCAGAUUCUUACAAGCGUGAACCAGGACAAGCUGUUUUAAGAUUUUGCAGCUGAAGAUUGUAUUUGAUGUAUUUUGGAUCAUUCCUUCUGCAUAUCUGAUUUCAUGCUUUUCAGAUUAACCCCUUCCUUCUGGGAAUGCUGAAAAUACUAGGGCCUGUUCCAGCUGAUUUUACAUCAAUGGGAUUCUUUUGGUAGCUUGAGGUAUACUAAAUGUUAAAUGGUGCUACAUUUACUUAAAAUCUACAUUACUCUCCUGACUUUAGUAGAAGCCAUACUGCUGAUCAAAUUACAGUGUAAACCAGAGAUUUUUGAUGUAUUUAUAAGCCUCUGAAAACAAUCCAAUCUGUAUUUUCUCUAUGGCCAUCACAUUCUCAUGCAAUACAUUCUCUUAAUAUAGGUUUCCAGUAGCUCACAUUUUUACCAGAAAGGAUACUUGCUUUGUGUCAGUCCAUGCUAAGAAUUUUUUUGCCGUGUACCAUCUAUGUAUUUUUCUCGACAGUUACAUCUGUCCUUUAAAAAGUCAUCUCACAUAUUAAAAGUCUGUUACAACCUAAGCUUUGAAGUAGCCCUGAGCUUGAGCAGAUUCCUGUGCAGAGUGGCAGCAUCUUUUCCUAUGGAUCCCUAAGAGUCUGAUCAUGAUUCUGGCAGCCAAAGGAAACAGAGUUUAUUUUUCAAGAUCCCUACUCACAAUUGCUCUUUUGAUUCCAUAUAGAAAAAUAAUUUACUAUAUAAAAGGUAAAAUUCUA